RNAcentral lists this transfer RNA (72 nucleotides) under Nocardiopsaceae bacterium. Its description in RNAcentral is "tRNA-Arg". It matches the Rfam family "tRNA". Rfam says of the family: Transfer RNA (tRNA) molecules are approximately 80 nucleotides in length. Their secondary structure includes four short double-helical elements and three loops (D, anti-codon, and T loops). The record is from RNAcentral. Lineage: Bacteria; Bacillati; Actinomycetota; Actinomycetes; Streptosporangiales; Nocardiopsidaceae.
GUCUCCAUGGUCCAGGGGACAGGACGGCGGCCUCCGAAGCCGCAAGCGCAGGUUCGACUCCUGCUGGAGACA